This 238-nucleotide ribosomal RNA is filed under the name uncultured bacterium. RNAcentral describes it as "partial 16S ribosomal RNA". It matches the Rfam family "Bacterial small subunit ribosomal RNA", at positions 15 to 236 of the family's 1533-position model. The record is from RNAcentral.
GAUCCUGGCUCAGGACGAACGCUGGCGGCGUGCCUAACACAUGCAAGUCGAACGGAGAAUUUUAUUUCGGUAGAAUUCUUAGUGGCGAACGGGUGAGUAACGCGUAGGCAACCUGCCCUUUAGACGGGGACAACAUUCCGAAAGGAGUGCUAAUACCGGAUGUGAUCAUCGUGCCGCAUGGCAGGAUGAAGAAAGAUGGCCUCUCGAAGCAAGCUAUCGCUAAAGGAUGGGCCUGCGU